RNAcentral lists this long non-coding RNA (462 nucleotides) under Nicotiana benthamiana. Its description in RNAcentral is "long non-coding RNA (NBEN_LNC029332)". The record is from RNAcentral. Lineage: Eukaryota; Viridiplantae; Streptophyta; Magnoliopsida; Solanales; Solanaceae.
ACCUUGGCCAGCCUUGUCUCCAACUCCCCCAUGGCGUCCCUGGAGCGAGACCUUUGGCCCUUAGAUUUGUCCCUUUCGGUUUGGGUGAUUUCACUGCCGCCUUCCAUACUCCCUUGGAUGUUCCAACGAACCUGACGCUCUGAUACCAAUUGUGACGAGACCGUAGCUCAAACACGACGAUCUGUCCGGCCUAGCGAACUUUGAAUGCUAAAGUUAGCUAGUCAGCCUACCCGGAAGCUUAGUAGAACUUAAGAAAGACUAAGCUUCUAGAAACUUGGCGAAGGAAACUAGUAGUUGGAAGAAAGAACUCUUUUAUUAAGAGAACUUUUUUACAAUGCUUUGAAUGCUUGCAACUUGGCUUGAUUGCUUGAUUGCUUCUUGGAUUCCAAAUGCCAUCCCAUAUUUAUAGGGGAGGCUUACAAGCUCUAGAGGUUCUAGAGAGUUCUAUAGCCUUCUAGAUAN